This 494-nucleotide ribosomal RNA is filed under the name uncultured bacterium. RNAcentral's name for it is "partial 16S ribosomal RNA". It matches the Rfam family "Bacterial small subunit ribosomal RNA", at positions 28 to 523 of the family's 1533-position model. The record is from RNAcentral.
GAUGAACGCUAGCGGCAGGCCUAACACAUGCAAGUCGAGGGGUAUCCCGCUUUCGGGCGGGAGAGACCGGCGCACGGGUGCGUAACGCGUAUGCAACCUACCCUGUACUGGGGGAUAGCCCGGAGAAAUUCGGAUUAACACCCCAUAGUACCAAUGAAUGGCAUCAUUUAUUAGUUAAGGGUUACGGUACAGGAUGGGCAUGCGUCCUAUUAGCUAGAUGGUAAGGUAACGGCUUACCAUGGCUACGAUAGGUAGGGGGCCUGAGAGGGUGGUCCCCCACACUGGUACUGAGACACGGACCAGACUCCUACGGGAGGCAGCAGUGAGGAAUAUUGGUCAAUGGGCGCAAGCCUGAACCAGCCAUGCCGCGUGCAGGAAGACGGUCCUAUGGAUUGUAAACUGCUUUUAUUUGGGAAUAAACCUCUUUACGUGUAGAGAGCUGAAGGUACCAAAUGAAUAAGCACCGGCUAACUCCGUGCCAGCCGCCGCGGUAA